RNAcentral lists this ribosomal RNA (312 nucleotides) under uncultured bacterium. RNAcentral describes it as "bacterial SSU rRNA". It matches the Rfam family "Bacterial small subunit ribosomal RNA", at positions 30 to 334 of the family's 1533-position model. The record is from RNAcentral.
AUUGAACGCUAGCGGGAUGCUUUACACAUGCAAGUCGAACGGCAGCGCGAAGAAAGCUUGCUUUCUUUGACGGCGAGUGGCGGACGGGUGAGUAAUGCAUCGGAAUGUGCCCAGUAGCGGGGGAUAACUACUCGAAAGAGUGGCUAAUACCGCAUAUUCUCUACGGAGGAAAGAGGGGGAUCUUCGGACCUCUCACUACUGGAGCAGCCGAUGUCAGAUUAGCUAGUUGGUGGGGUAAAGGCCUACCAAGGCAAUGAUCUGUAGCUGGUUUGAGAGGACGACCAGCCACACUGGGACUGAGACACGGCCCAG